Molecule: transfer RNA, 64 nt
Filed under: Marmota monax (woodchuck)
Lineage: Eukaryota; Metazoa; Chordata; Mammalia; Rodentia; Sciuridae
Description: tRNA.Ala
Source: RNAcentral
GUGUAGCUCAGUGGUAAAGUGUGUGCUUAGCACACAGGAGGCCCUGGGUUCCAUCCCCAGCACA